Molecule: long non-coding RNA, 1444 nt
Filed under: Homo sapiens (human)
Lineage: Eukaryota; Metazoa; Chordata; Mammalia; Primates; Hominidae
Description: non-protein coding lnc-LEF1-3:4
Source: RNAcentral
CCCAAAUGUGGCCUUGGGUUUUCAGGAGCCCAGUAGUGACUUCUGUGGUCCCUGACUUGCACCCUCACCCUAUUAUUGGAGUUGUGCUUCAUUUCUCUGUGUGGAAAGAGUGAAGUAUUGGGAAAUAUGACCCUGGUCACCAAACCAACUCAGAGACAGCAAGUGCUUUGGCAAAGGAAAGGGCUGGCACAGAGAACAGAGUCGAUUUCUCAUUGUCUUCACCAAUCUUCUGAACCCGUGAAUACUUUUUGCAUGAUGAUUUGAAGCAGCCAGGAGGCCAAGACAGCGGCCAGGAGAAGCAGCAAGGAAUUGAGCCUUGUACAUUUUUCUCAAAAAAAUAAAAGAUGGGGAACCACCAUGCUCGAGAUAAGAAAUUAGUCUGUGAAGAGACCUUCAAGUUCUGUAAAUGGUAGAAAAAAAUUUAAAUGAGACAUAUCUUUCUCAAUUUGCAUCCCAAUUAUUUUCUUAAAUUGUCAUUCACUGUAACCUAGGGAAAACAGAAUUCAGAAUCACAUGGCAGUAAUGAUUUUCAUGUCCUUUCCCUAACUCUACCAUGACUCCGCUCCCCUAACACACCUAGGUGUCUUUCUUUCCUUUGUGGCUCAUGCAAUUUCUUCUGCCUGCAAUUCCAGUAAGAAUGGAGACUCUGGGAAUGGAUUUCAGAAUUAUUCAGGAGGAAUAAUUUUCAGGAUGUGUGAGUGAUCAAAUCUAGGGGCCAAGCAAGUCAAAGAGUGAAAGAAGAGCUCAGAAGUUGAACACAUUUAAGAGGAAAGAUGAAAAUUUUGGUUCAGUGGUGUCAGUAGUCAACUAGAUGGAAGUGUAAGAAGGAAGAUGGAAAUGGGAGACUACAAAAUAGGAAACAGAGCUACAAAGAGAAAUAAAGUAAUCCAAAGAAAGAGCAUUUAUUAGUGGACACCAAGAGUUGGACGUAGAUCCUUUGGAAAUGUAAUAUUUCAAUUGCUCACAAAUUCUCCAAAUUGACAAUAUGGCAAGUCUAUUCAAAGAUAAGUAAGUCAUGGUACACAGACCAACUCUAUUACACCAAGGACACAUACCAAGACUAGGAGAAAAGAGAGACUGGGAGGAAUAAUUCUGCCUUCGGACCAGAGGAAGAGAGCAAGAGUUAGAGACAGCUUCCUGGAAGAGGUGGCAUUUGAGCUAGCUCUUUAAGUUUCAAUGGGAGAAGAAAGAAAAGGCAUCUGGAAACAAGGAAGCAGCAGUAGCAAAUGAGGAAGAAUCAGAAGGGAAGCCAGAGAGCACCAUUAUCACCAGAGGAUAUACCAAAUCCAGUCAUUCAUAAGCUAUUUAUUUUGUGUGAUUUUAAACAAUAGCUGCUAUCGGCUGGGCACGGUGGUUCACGCCUAUAAUCCUGGCACUUUGGGAGGCCGAGGUGGGAGGAUCACCUGAGGUCAGGAGUUCAAGGCCAGCCUGGCCAACAUGGUGA